This 378-nucleotide ribosomal RNA is filed under the name uncultured organism. Its description in RNAcentral is "partial 16S ribosomal RNA". It matches the Rfam family "Bacterial small subunit ribosomal RNA", at positions 525 to 896 of the family's 1533-position model. The record is from RNAcentral.
GGAGGGGGGGCUAGCGUUGUUCGGAAUUACUGGGCGUAAAGCGCGCGUAGGCGGGUUGUUCAAGUUGGGGCGUGAAAGCCCGGGGGCUUUAACCCCCGGGAAUUGCGCUCAAAACUGGACAGCUAGAGUCCCGGAAGAGGAGAGUGGAAUUCCCAGUGUAGAGGUGAAAUUCGUAGAUAUUGGGAAGAACACCAGUGGCGAAGGCGGCUCUCUGGUCCGGUACUGACGCUAAGGUGCGAAAGCGUGGGGAGCAAACAGGAUUAGAUACCCUGGUAGUCCACGCCGUAAACGAUGAGUGCUAGAUGUUGGUGGGCAUGCCCAUCAGUGUCGCAGUUAACGCAUUAAGCACUCCGCCUGGGGAGUACGGUCGCAAGAUUA